Molecule: ribosomal RNA, 523 nt
Filed under: uncultured bacterium
Lineage: Bacteria
Description: bacterial SSU rRNA
Rfam family: Bacterial small subunit ribosomal RNA
Source: RNAcentral
AGAGUUUGAUCCUGGCUCAGAUUGAACGCUGGCGGCAUGCCUUACACAUGCAAGUCGAGCGGCAGCGCGGGGGCAACCCUGGCGGCGAGCGGCGAACGGGUGAGUAAUGCAUCGGAACGUGUCCUCUUGUGGGGGAUAACCAGUCGAAAGACUGGCUAAUACCGCAUGAGAUCGAGAGAUGAAAGCGGGGGACCGCAAGGCCUCGCGCGAGAGGAGCGGCCGAUGCCGGAUUAGCUAGUUGGCGGGGUAAUGGCCCACCAAGGCGACGAUCCGUAGCUGGUCUGAGAGGACGACCAGCCACACUGGGACUGAGACACGGCCCAGACUCCUACGGGAGGCAGCAGUGGGGAAUUUUGGACAAUGGGGGCAACCCUGAUCCAGCCAUGCCGCGUGUGUGAAGAAGGCCUUCGGGUUGUAAAGCACUUUCGGACGGAACGAAAUCGCGCGAUCUAACAAGUCGCGUGGAUGACGGUACCGUAAGAAGAAGCACCGGCUAACUACGUGCCAGCCGCCGCGGUAAUAC